RNAcentral lists this ribosomal RNA (56 nucleotides) under Mammillaria elongata. Its description in RNAcentral is "partial 26S ribosomal RNA". The record is from RNAcentral. Lineage: Eukaryota; Viridiplantae; Streptophyta; Magnoliopsida; Caryophyllales; Cactaceae.
UGGCCCGAGGUCAAGCGAGGCUACCUACAAAGUUUAAGCAUAUCAAUAAGCGGAGG